CUUGGUCAUUUAGAGGAAGUAAAAGUCGUAACAAGGUUUCCGUAGGUGAACCUGCGGAAGGAUCAUUAAAAAAGUUUGGAUAUGAACUCUCAUUCCAAUCUCCACUCUGCGUACCUGUCCUCUGUAAGCUUCCGUUGGGCGUGGGUCUUCGGAUCCCCUCCUGUCCGGCCCAAUCGUGGCUGGAUUGGGAGAGUCUCGACGGGAGCCAAUAACAAACUCAAACCUUUAGUAUGUCAUGUCUGAAUAUGUUGCAAAGCAAUAUUUAAAACUUUCAACAAUGGAUCUCUUGGUUCUCGCAUCGAUGAAGAACGCAGCGAAAUGCGAUAAGUAGUGUGAAUUGCAGAAUUCAGUGAAUCAUCGAAUCUUUGAACGCACAUUGCGCCUCCUGGUAUUCCGGGAGGCAUGCCUGUUCGAGCGUCAUUAAAAACCACUCAAGCUCUUUUGCUUGGUCAUGGAAGAUGAGUGAGCUUGUCUCUCUCCCUUUCGAAAUUCAAAGGCGGAAAGCCCCAUGUGCACCGGCGUAGUAAGUUUUCUUUCGCUUUGGCCAUGAGGUGAUCCUGCCCCAAACCCCCAAUUUUUCUAGGUUGACCUCGGAUCAGGUAGGGAUACCCGCUGAACUUAAGCAUAUCAAUAAGCGGAGGA
RNAcentral lists this ribosomal RNA (642 nucleotides) under uncultured fungus. RNAcentral's name for it is "eukaryotic LSU rRNA". The stretch from base 267 to 420 matches the Rfam family "5.8S ribosomal RNA". The record is from RNAcentral. Lineage: Eukaryota; Fungi.